UCAACAAAUGUGCAGAAGGAUAGAAAAUAAUGGUAUUUUUGAUGAAAAUGGUGUAGCCAAAAACAUACUUUCAUUGAAAGAGUGUAACAAAGACAUAGUAAACCAUGUGGCUAAGACAUUCCUACUGCCAUUGGGAUAAGUCUGAUCCUGAUCAGAUAGUCUAGACAUGACUUAUGAGGCUAGACUAUCACUAUCAUGUCUAGGUUUCAGACUCACAUAACAUAAUUUUAAAUGCAUAUGCUGCAAACAUGGACAGGAGUUGGAUUGCAUUGGACAAGAAGAAAAAAUGAGUUGCUGUCAUCCUUUCAUGACCCUUGCAAAUCUAGCAACGGAAAUUCGAAGGCAAAACGUUCAGUUACAUUUGGUUGUGGUUAAUGUUGAAGAUGGAAAAGCACCAAAAAAAAUGUGAAAAUGAAAGCAGAUAUGAUAGGAAAUCAUAUAGACAUUUGGUGAUCCAAAAAUAACUAGAGUUCAUGAAACAAGACUGAUUACGAAUACUUGAAUAUGGCUCUGAUCUGUCUUUGAUUUUUCCUGUUGGUGUGAACAAAUUGCAAGCUCAAAUAAAAACAAAUUGAAAUGGAACUCAUAGGUAUGCUUUGAAAAAAAGAAAAAAAACAGCAAUGUGAAUCUUGCCGAAGUCUUAACAACAACCAAGUCAACACACAGUUGCAACACAAAUGAGAAGAGAGAGACAUUUGCAAGGACUUAGAGUGUUCUCACUGUCUCACCAUCAGAAUGGCUUUCUCAUCAGCAAAGAAGAAGUCUAAAAUUACUUCUGUAUAAAAAGGUCAUCAAUAUUGAAGACAAUCAAGAAGAUUACGGUUGUACUUGCCCAUUUGAUAAAUAUUAAAAUCUUUUCAUUUGUCAGAAAUUGUUACUUAGAUUGACUAACUAGUUUUAUUGAUUGAAUUAUUAGUAAAUUACCUUUCGUAGUUCAUGUAGUUACAUGUAUGUAAUUUUUUUUCAGAUAGUAUGGAAACAAUUUAAUAUGUCCCUAAAUUCCAUACAUAAUGCAACAAUUUUCUUGUGCUGCUAAGUCAAUUUGAAUUAACUUUUAUGUUACUUUGUAUGUUUAUAGUACAUGUAAUCUUAUUCUUGCAUUUAAGCAUCAUUUUGUGUUAUUGUAUCAUCUUCAUUGAUUGUUAAAUAUAAUACUAAUGCUAUAAAAAAAAAAAACAUUUAUGAUCAUUAAAACAGAUUGAAAUAUUUAAAAAUAUAUCAAUGCUAAAAGGAAUUUAUAAAUUUAGACAUUUCUCGAGGAGAAUUUUAGAAAGUACUACAACAAAAGCAAACCAAUAGUAUAUGCUCAAAUGCACUAUUAUCUUUCUCACCAGAUAACCAAAUAGAGAUAUGUUUAUAUUUUAUCAAAUUGAUGAAGCUUAUGUUAGUUUAAAUAAAUAUGUACAUGCAAUUUUAAGGUUUUAAAAAACAACAUUUUUAUUGGAUUAUCUCCCUUUGUACAAUAGAAAUUCAGAUUUUAUCAUCACUGUCUCAGGUACUCAUGAUCAAAAUGACUUAUAUUGUUACCAGCAUGCAAGUAAAAGGUUGCAACUUUCUUAACUUUGUUUACCUGUAGAACACAUAUUCUGAAUGUCAAUACUUAAGAUUUUUCAAUAUGAUGAACUUGACAUUAAAUUUCAUAUCAUUUUUGAGUAACCAGAAUAAAACUUUAGUAAUUAGCAAGCUGCAAUAAAUAAAAUAGGAUUACUAGGAAGAAAUGAAAGGAUUUUACUCUUUAAAGUAGUAAGGACAAGUGUACUGAAGGAAUGUGUAAUAAAAAAAAUACCAAAAAAAAUUUGUUUUUGGCAGCUCCCCCCUUUUUUAAGCCUGAUGCUUACUAUUGUUUAUGACACAAAAAUCUAUUUCAAUUUGAAUUUUCUAUUUGAAUUACCUAUUUUGCAUAAUACAAUCUGUAUAAUUCAAGUAUUUAUUUUUGAAUGCUUGGUUUUAUUGAAAUAUGAGACUUUCCUCAAUUUAUUGCGAAAAUACACAAAAAAAGGGGGGGAGGCUAUCUAAAUGAUCAAUAAAAUCUAUAAAAUUAAUUUGCAACCGAAAUCCCUUCAACAUAUUUUGAACCAAAGAAAAUGCAAUGUAUGUCUGACAUUUAGGGUAAAUUAAAGCGACUUUUGGGCUGUAGUGUCUGUUUUAGUGUGAUUUGAUGAAAAGGCCAUAUUUUUUAUCACUUUAUGUGUUUUGCCACGCCC
Mytilus trossulus (common blue mussel) is the source of this 2204-nucleotide long non-coding RNA. RefSeq lists it as uncharacterized. The transcript has 3 exons. The record is from RefSeq and is a predicted model, not a curated record. NCBI's taxonomy places the organism in Eukaryota, Metazoa, Mollusca, Bivalvia, Mytilida, Mytilidae.